Molecule: long non-coding RNA, 796 nt
Organism: Coregonus clupeaformis (lake whitefish)
Lineage: Eukaryota; Metazoa; Chordata; Actinopteri; Salmoniformes; Salmonidae
Exons: 6
Source: RefSeq, a predicted model, not a curated record
UGUGUGAAUAGGGACCUCAUGAAGAUGUUUCGUGGGUUGCUCCGCCUUAUUUGUUUAAUAACAACGUCAAAAAUCAAGGAAAUAGCCUUACACCGACACCUCUUGUCGGUAAAUCAUUUACGGAAUCCUACCUUUUGCAACCACUACCUCUCUCAGAGAAGGGCUGCUGCGACUUGCGAUAUGGGAGUCAAAGUUCAUAUCACCUAUUGCGGUGGAUGAGGGUACAGGCCCAAGUUCGCCAGACUCAAGACACAGCUUGAGGAUGAAUUCCCAGGUGAUCUUGAGAUUACUGGUGAAAGUACACCUUCAACCUCUGGGUGGUUUGAGGUGGAGGUGAAUGGCAAGUUGGUCCACUCAAAGAAGGAGGGGUCAGGCUUUGUGGACAAUGAGCAGAAAAUGGCAGCAUUGGUUGAUGCCAUUGAUAAGGUGUUGAGGAAAUAAGCUAGUGCUGAUUAUGGAGUCUGUUCUCUGUUUGUCAUCUCCUUGACAUUGCAUAAUGAUGGUGGUGCUCCAAUUGUCAAAGACAUGGGUGCUGCUUGAUGAAACCUGCUCUGCCAGGGAGGUGCCCUACAGAUUGCUUCAAUUCGUACAGUGGCACUGCUUUUGUAAGGUGGUGGGUGAUACAAAGGGAGAAUAUACUGUUUAUUUGUAAUUGAAACAUAACACCUCAAUUGAGCUCCUUACAUUUUCCCAUUGUUUUUACUUUUUUGGCAUGUCCAAUCUUUAAAACAUUUAACAUUGUAUCUAUCGUCCCAAAUGUUGAUGCAACUAUAAAAUGCAAGUUAUUAACAACUUA